UACAGAGGUGGCAAACGUUGUCCGGAUUUAUUGGGUGUAAAGGGCAUGUAGGUGGUUUUGUAAGUCAAAGGUGAAAUGGCCCGGCUUAACCAGGUCAUUGCCUUUGAAACUGCAGGACUUGAGUUCGGAAGAGGAAAGCGGAAUUCCCAGUGUAGCGGUGAAAUGCGUAGAUAUUGGGAGGAACACCGGUGGCGAAGGCGGCUUUCUGGUCCGAUACUGACACUGAGAUGCGAAAGCCAGGGGAGCAAACAGG
This 253-nucleotide ribosomal RNA is filed under the name uncultured prokaryote. Its description in RNAcentral is "partial 16S ribosomal RNA". It matches the Rfam family "Bacterial small subunit ribosomal RNA", at positions 524 to 776 of the family's 1533-position model. The record is from RNAcentral.